Molecule: ribosomal RNA, 750 nt
Filed under: Leifsonia sp.
Lineage: Bacteria; Bacillati; Actinomycetota; Actinomycetes; Micrococcales; Microbacteriaceae
Description: bacterial SSU rRNA
Rfam family: Bacterial small subunit ribosomal RNA
Source: RNAcentral
GGGAUUAGUGGCGAACGGGUGAGUAACACGUGAGUAACCUGCCCUUGACUCUGGGAUAACCUCCGGAAACGGAAGCUAAUACCGGAUACGACGUACGGAGGCAUCUCCUGUACGUGGAAAGAACUUCGGUCAAGGAUGGACUCGCGGCCUAUCAGGUAGUUGGUGAGGUAACGGCUCACCAAGCCUACGACGGGUAGCCGGCCUGAGAGGGUGACCGGCCACACUGGGACUGAGACACGGCCCAGACUCCUACGGGAGGCAGCAGUGGGGAAUAUUGCACAAUGGGCGCAAGCCUGAUGCAGCAACGCCGCGUGAGGGAUGACGGCCUUCGGGUUGUAAACCUCUUUUAGUAGGGAAGAAGCGAAAGUGACGGUACCUGCAGAAAAAGCACCGGCUAACUACGUGCCAGCAGCCGCGGUAAUACGUAGGGUGCGAGCGUUGUCCGGAAUUAUUGGGCGUAAAGAGCUCGUAGGCGGUCUGUCGCGUCUGCUGUGAAAACCCGAGGCUCAACCUCGGGCCUGCAGUGGGUACGGGCAGACUAGAGUGCGGUAGGGGAGAAUGGAAUUCCUGGUGUAGCGGUGGAAUGCGCAGAUAUCAGGAGGAACACCGAUGGCGAAGGCAGUUCUCUGGGCCGUAACUGACGCUGAGGAGCGAAAGCGUGGGGAGCGAACAGGAUUAGAUACCCUGGUAGUCCACGCCGUAAACGUUGGGCGCUAGAUGUGGGGACCAUUCCACGGUUUCCGUGUCGCA